This is a small nucleolar RNA of Capsicum annuum, 106 nucleotides long. Lineage: Eukaryota; Viridiplantae; Streptophyta; Magnoliopsida; Solanales; Solanaceae. The record is from RefSeq and is a predicted model, not a curated record.
UAUUGAUGGUGUGGACAGUCCCUAAGAAGCGCCUUGAAUCGCUCCCAAGCAUGAUAGAAAUUCUCAUUUCUAUUUGUUUGAAGCAUACAAUCUCACUACGAAGUCU